GAUUAAGUUAUUAAGGGCGCACGGUGGAUGCCUUGGCACUAGAAGCCUACGAAGGACGUUACUAACGACGAUAUGCUUUGGGGAGCUGUAAGUAAGCUUUGAUCCAGAGAUUUCCGAAUGGGGAAACCCAACACGAGUUAUGUCGUGUUAUCGAUAUGUGAAUACAUAGCAUAUCUGAAGGCAGACGCGGGGAACUGAAACAUCUUAGUACCCGCAGGAAGAGAAAGAAAAAUCGAUUCCCUGAGUAGCGGCGAGCGAAACGGGAAGAGCCCAAACCAACGAGCUUGCUUGUUGGGGUUGUAGGACACUCUAUACGGAGUUACAAAAGAACAAAUUAGACGAAUCAUCUGGAAAGAUGAAUCAAAGAAGGUAAUAAUCCUGUAGUCGAAAGUUUGUUCACUCUUGAGUGGAUCCUGAGUACGACGGAACACGAGAAAUUCCGUCGGAAUCCGGGAGGACCAUCUCCCAAGGCUAAAUACUCUCUAGUGACCGAUAGUGAACCAGUACCGUGAGGGAAAGGUGAAAAGUACCCCGGAAGGGGAGUGAAAUAGAACUUGAAACCGUGUGCUUACAAGUAGUCAGAGCCCGUUAAUGGGUGAUGGCGUGCCUUUUGUAGAAUGAACCGGCGAGUUACGAUUUGAUGCAAGGUUAAGCAGUUAAUGUGGAGCCGUAGCGAAAGCGAGUCUGAAUAGGGCGUUGAGUAUUUGGUCGUAGACCCGAAACCAGGUGAUCUACCCAUGACCAGGCUGAAGUUCAGGUAACACUGAAUGGAGGGCCGAACCGACUUACGUUGAAAAGUGAGCGGAUGAGUUGUGGGUAGCGGAGAAAUUCCAAUCGAACCUGGAGAUAGCUGGUUCUCUCCGAAAUAGCUUUAGGGCUAGCCUUAAGUAAUGAUUAUUGGAGGUAGAGCACUGUUUGGACGAGGGGCCCUUAUCGGGUUACCGAAUUCAGACAAACUCCGAAUGCCAAUCAAUUUUAUCUUAGGAGUUAGAACGCGGGUGAUAAGGUCCGUGUUCGAAAGGGAAACAGCCCAGACCACCAGCUAAGGUCCCAAAAUAUAUGUUAAGUGGAAAAGGAUGUGGCGUUGCCCAGACAACUAGUAUGUUGGCUUAGAAGCAGCCAUCAUUUAAAGAGUGCGUAAUAGCUCACUAGUCGAGUGACACUGCGCCGAAAAUGUACCGGGGC
RNAcentral lists this ribosomal RNA (1185 nucleotides) under Staphylococcus aureus. RNAcentral describes it as "partial 23S ribosomal RNA". It matches the Rfam family "Bacterial large subunit ribosomal RNA", at positions 1 to 1181 of the family's 2925-position model. The record is from RNAcentral. Lineage: Bacteria; Bacillati; Bacillota; Bacilli; Caryophanales; Staphylococcaceae.